RNAcentral lists this long non-coding RNA (7056 nucleotides) under Daucus carota (carrot). RNAcentral describes it as "long non-coding RNA (DCAR_LNC002954)". The record is from RNAcentral. Lineage: Eukaryota; Viridiplantae; Streptophyta; Magnoliopsida; Apiales; Apiaceae.
AAUAUCAAAUCUUGAUCAAAUCAAAUAUAAAAUAAUAUCAAAUCUUCAUCAAAUCAAAUAUCAAAUCUAUAAGAAUUCAAAAAAAAAAAUAUCAAAUCUAUAAUCUUACACACAAUAGUAAAAGAGUUAGAAUUUAUUUUGAUAUCAACAAUCAAUUUAGAUAUCAAUUGCUAAAUCUUACUUGCACUAUAAAUAUACUUGCCAUGUCCGCAUAUUUAUUCAUAGUCUGAUAAUUCUUUUCAUCAAUUUUGUCAUCAUGGAUGUUCUUGCUUUUGAAAUCUUCUCUCAUUUGCCUGCAAAAUCAGUUCUUAAAUUGAGUAUAAUUUCAAAACAAUGUCAUGAAAAUUUAUCUAGCCAAUUACUUGCAAAUAAACAAUUUAAAAAUCUCCAGGAUAAAGAAGAUUCAUGUUUUUUCAUCCAGUCAAAACAUUGUGAAAAAUCCUCCCCAAUCCCUCUGCAACUUAAGUUUUUGUGUGAGACUUUUAGAUCUUUUUGUGGUUUUCCUCCUGUCUCUCAUGAGUUUUUAUCCAUGACCGGCUCAAUUCUAGCAUCCCACAACGGAUUAUUGUGUUGUAAGAAUAUAUACGAUGCUGAAUAUCCAGUUUUUUUGUGUAAUCCUGUCACAAGAACAUGGUUGCCAAUUAUCAAGCCAACCAUUAACUUCAAUAAUAAUCAUCCCUUUAAUUUUAUUCUUGUUGAUCACAAUCAGGAGGGUGAUUACAUGUUGAUGCAUGUGGGAUCAAGGUCAGAAGAUGUUUGGGAAACUGGUACGCCAGGUUAUGCUCAAUUUACUCGCCUCAGAAUAAAGUAUGGCAAGAGCGUGGAGAGAUGAUGGUUGGUUUGAGGAGUAUUGACUUUGGAUCACCAGCUUAUCUGAAGAAUGAAAAUGGUGGCGGAACAAUUUACUUCAUGUCAGAUUGGAAUAAGUAUUUAACAAAAGAUAGUCCUUUUUAUUGGCCAUACAUUAUGAGUUAUAAUUUUGGGAACUCUAUUUCCAGAUUCCUAAAAAUACCGAGACCUGCAAGAAAGGGUGUUUUGGAUGAUAAUUGCAAGUUUGGUGUAUUCAAAUUCAGGGAUCCGGAAUGUGGUACAGAAUCUAUAUGCUUGAUCAGAUUAAUGAAACUUGUGUUUAGCGUAUGGGUUUUGACGGAUGUUGAUUUGAACACAUGGAGGAUGAUUAUGAAGGCACGAUCAAAGGCUAUGGGAUUGUAUGAAGAUUCGAGGCCAACGAUAUCAGGCUUUACUGUCAUGAAUGGAAAUUUGUUGGUGAUAGCAACAAGUGACAAUCAACUUUUCACAUAUACCUUGACUCGUGAUCUAACAACGAGUAGUAAUGUGAAAAGAGCUGCUAAGAUUGGCUCUCAUGAUCAAUGUGGAAGGGAGGACGUGUGCUUUUAUUCAUAUUCCAACACUCUUAGACCAUGCGGACAUGGUGAACUUCCAUUGCCGCUGCAGUAAACAAUGCAAUCGAAUAGCGGCGUGUCUAGGAGUUUUUUUUGUUUGUUUGCUUUGGAUGGUUCUCUUGAUAUUCUGUAUCUGUAAUCUCUAUGCUCAAGUUUUAUUUAACUCACAAUUUGGUGUUUGCAAUUUUGAUACGGGUAAAAUAUAUAUAGAAAAGCUAACCUUUAAAUUAGAGAAUCUCUUAAUCAAUAUAUUUUCUUAUAAAAAAAAAAACUUAGAAGGGUGUAUUGGCUUGGGAUUUUAAAGCAUUUUUUUGCAUUCAUGAAAUCCGAGGGUAUUCGAUUGGGAUUGUUUGAAAUCCAUUAAAAUCUUGAGGUAUUCAAUUGAGAUUUUAAAUUAUGCUACAAAAUCUGGUGGUAUUCAAUUGAGAUUUUAAAUUAUGCUUUAAAAUCCGAUGGUAUUCAAUUGGGAUUGUUUAAAAUCUAUUAAAAUCUGAUGGUAUUCAAAUGCUGAUGGAUUUUUUUCCAUUUAAAAUGAUGGAUUUUGUGGCAUUGUUCAGUGUAUUUUAAGUUUAUUGAAAUUCCACCAAAUUCAAUGGGAUUUUAAAGCAUUGUACCUAAAUCCUAUCAACUCUGCUAAAUUUCAUCAAGAAUCCGCACAAAAUCAAAAUCCCAUACAAUCCAUUAAAAUCCAUAGACUAAAAACAAUGCAUUAAAAUCUCAAUCAAAUACACCCCCGUCAGAACAUCUCCAAGAGCCUCUUAGUUGUCUACUAAAUAUAAUCAAUCAAUACCCUUUAUUAAUAAGCGAAACCAUGUUUUGGUGGGAUAUCAUACCAGAGUACCAAAAUUUGGUCAUCAUAUAUUAUAUUUAAUUAUUAUUAUAUCAUUAUUAAACUCCUAUUAAAAGUAUUGUACUUCUAUUAGAAGAUAUAAGACAUAUAUAUUGAUCAAGACUUUUUCACAUAACGAUUAUUCAUGAUAUAGAAUUCUAUCCCAAUAUAUAACUAAAUAUUUUAAUUUUAAAACCGAAACAAUUUAACUCAGAAAUUAACUCUAUAAAAUCCUUAUCACAUAAAUAUGAAUUCUCUAUAAAAAUUUUAUCAAAUAAAUAUAGGGAGUCAACAGAUCUUUUGUACGGAUCUGAGAACAUAAAAUAAAUUAAAUAUUUAAAUAAUGAAUUUUAUUUAUAAAACAUAUUUAAGUUAUUUAACUUAAAAAUUCCUUUAGACUUCGUUUGUCAAACAACUACAACUCUUACGUCUAAAAGAAUUCCAACCAAAAUUAGAAUUACCUAAUCUAACUCUAAAACAAUUACGGAUUAAAUAUACGUAACACAUAUCUAUUAUAACUCUAAAUUAAUUACAAAUUAUAGAUUUAUCGAACUAUUUAACAUGGGAAUUAACCAUAUAAAGUUUCUAUCAAUUAAAUAGGAAUCAACUCAAUAAAAUUCAUAUCAAAUAAAUACAAGGAGUCGGCGGAGUUUUUGUGUGGAUAUGAGAAUAUAGAAUAAAAGGCUACGGGAUUGUAUGAAGAUUUGAGGUCAACUAUAUCAGGCUUUACGGUCAUGAAUGGAAAUUUGUUGGUGAUAGCAACAAGUGACAAUCAACUUUUCACAUAUACCUUGACUCAUGAUCUAACAACGAGUGGUAAUGUGAAAAUGUCUUAAUACAUUUUCUUAUGAAAAGAUACUUGCUCUGUGACAGCCUAGGAAUCCGGGGGUCUGGAUUUGGUGCCACUAAAAGAAAAUCAUUUAAAAACCUGUAUUUGCGAAAGAAGGUAAAACAUAUAAUUAAAAAUCUGGAAGGUUUUAAAAGAGAUUUAAAUCAAAAUCACUUUGACCCCCUAAAAACAGGAUCGCUAAUAGGUUACAGCAUCGAAAUCAGAAACCAAAACCUUAAAAUCUCAUUACAACUUAAACUACAUUACCAGUUAAAUUUCGAUAAGAAGAGUAACUGAUAACCAAAUAGAUAAUUCUAGUCACAACUGAACUGAAAUAAAAUAAUUCUAACCGUAAUUAGUCUCGUAGACAUCUACCUGACAAUCUCGCUUAGCAUCAAUCUUACGCACAGCUUACACAGGUGAAUCAUCUUAAACCCUAGCUGAAAGGAUUAGAAAUAAUAGAAAGGGUGAGCGAAAAUGUUCAGCAAGAAAACUUUAAAGGGAUAAUCAGGUAAAUCCAUAAUAUGCAGGAAUUUCAAAUCCAAUAGAUAAUGGAUUUCAAUUUAAAACAUUGAUAAUGCGAUUCCAAAUUGGAGAGAGAAUUUGUAUCAUGAGAAAACAUUUAGAAUUAAAUAAAUGAUUCACCUCAAAAUCUUUCAAACCAUACUGAUUCGCAUUAUAGCAAAUCUCAUAAAAUAAUGCCUUUGCAAGAACUUCAAAAAUUUAAUCAUUUGAGAAGUUCAAAAUAACUUUUGAUAAUCAACUGUUCAUAAACCACAGUUCAAGAAAUUCUUAAAUAUUCAGUGUCCAUCAUUGUCGACUAAAUUUCCAUAUAUUUAGUUGCUAAACCAGCAUGACAAUGAUGAGUUGAAUAAUUAAGAAGACCUCAACUCAUUCUUAGCUCUAACUAUCACUGAGCAACAAAUGCUUCAGCGUCACGCUAUGCUAUAGCCGAUGAUCAGUCGCGAGAUAGCACCGGAUCAUGCACGAAGCAUGUCACCAAAUUUUAAGGGAUCCAAGGCACACAUUGGCCUAAAUUGUAACUGGACAGUCGGUCCCCGAGGGUACUUCCAAUCACAAAAUAAGCGAGGUAUCGAAAAAUCGACAACCUUGUUUUAUAUCAAAACCAUGAUAAUAACAGUUAAAUUAACGGUUCAGCAUUUCUAAAACAUUUAAAUAAAAGUUCUUUUCAGGGGGAAACAUUUAUAUAAAACAACAGUUGAUAAAAUAUUGUAGACAUGAUGUGAGUGUACUUAUUGUGUACACAUGUCCAACAUAAUGAUGCAAGUAAAAUAGCUUUCAUGCUCGAAAUUGUGUAAGGUAGUUCAGGUAACUAAUAUACUCGUAAAAAGUACAUGUUCAAAUAUAUGAGAGAGAACAAUUGAAAAUCUUUAAUCAAAUAAUUUCAAAGCUUAAUCAGCUUAUCUUUUUAAAAUGCUGAAAACAACUAUAAUUUUAUAAAGACAUUCAAAAGAUCAUGAAUGCUUAUGUGCAAUAGCAGAAAAUGUUUAUUGAGUGACGAAAAUAAAACGUAAUUGGUUAUAAAAAGAUGUAGAGCAAAAUACUUGAAGUAGUUACAAUAGAAAAAUAAUAACAUUGUAUUUUUAAAUAUAGGAUAUGCACUACUGGUUACCAUAACAAAAUAUGAAUAUGAAUGAUCCUCUUUAAAUAGAAGUGACCAAAAAUUUUCUUGCAAUAAAUACAAGUCAUAAUUAGAAAACUUGCCUCUGACAACAAAACUAGUGACAUCACAGUCACGCUACUCGAAAACUUUAGAUUGCCUUGGCAUCUAGCAUCUGGCUCAACACAACACGACUACGCAAUUCAACUACUUCUGAUCGUCAUUGAUAAAUCAUCUUGGUCGACUACAUACAACAAUAAAAUAAUACUUUAGUUGACGAACAAACCAGAUUGUCGUCUAAAUCAAGAAGUCGAACCGAAAUCUAAUUCUACCCUUCGUGGUAUAUAAAUAUUUUUAACUAUUAUGUACACAUAAUAUUCAUAAUUUAAACACGUAAUCACAUUGUCACGUAUCACGAGAUUGACAUGCUUUAUUAUUUAUAAAUAAUCAUAACCGAUAAUCCAAGAAUCUGUCCAAAUCUUAAUCAGAAUCUGAAUUAUAAUCAAAAUUCGGUUCUCAAUUUAAAUCCAAUUCUUAAUAAUAGACUAAAAUUCGGACAACACCUCUAUCAUUUUAGAGCAAUCCCGACAAUUAAUCAAUCAACAUAAUAUAUAAUUACAACAAUCAAAUUCUCGUGUCUAAUCUGCCAGAUUUUAUAACUAAACAUGUUAUUCAACACUAAUAAGCGGAUAUAGUAAUUGAAAACAAAGGUUUAUAAUUAAUAACCACCUUGUAUUAUAAUUAUAAUAAUGAUAAUACACCUUGCAAUUAAAUAGAGCAAUCAAAAUUAUAUAUUAAUUUCAUUGGGAUAAGUUUUAUGGAGACCACUUUUUCAUCAGAGACUUGGAGACCACUUAUGUACUGAAACUAAAAUACUCCAUAAAAAUAUUGCAAAACGUAUUAUUUUUCGAAUCAUGUUCUACAAAUAUCAUUAUUUUAUUAACAAUCUUGCAAAUUGUAUACAUUUGGCAAAUAAAACAUUAAAAAACAUAUUAUUUUACAAAACCAUGUUUAGUGUACAGAACAUUUGUUGAUCUUGCGGAACAUACAUGUUCUGCUUGUUUAGCACAAAUAAUUUUCAACAUUUUCAAUGAAAUAGUGAUAUUUAUAGAAUGUACUUCGCAAAACAAUAAAUUUUGUAGUGUUUUAAUUGGAGAAUAUAAGUGGUCUCCAAGGUCUCCGAUAAAAUAGUGAUCUCCAAAAAACUUUUCUCUAAUUUCAUUAAUAUUAUUGAUAUUAUUGUUAUCAUUUAUUAACAACAACAAUAAUAAAAAUAAUAAAACAAAAUUAAUAUUUGUUUUUGUCUUUCACCCCUCCAACCAAUCGCGCAUCAGCCAACAAAACUCACCCACUUCCUCCGUUCACCUCCAACAGCGGCGGUGACGCAGCCUGCCACCACGACCUCACCGCUGCAACCCUCAUCUUGGGGUUAAUCGCCGCUGCUCCUUAAACACCACCAGCCAUCUUCUCCUCCAGUGUCAGCCGCGUCGCCGCUUCGACGUCCAGCCGCGGCGGCGGCUCCUCGGUUCGCGGCAUCACCGCCUCACCACCACCAUCACCACAGGUACUCCCUCUCUUCAUCCCUCUGCUUAUCAACCACCCGCCCCCACAUCUCCGAUCUCAACAACACAACAAUCAUUGUAUACAAGUACAUAUAUAAACGUACACACAACCCAUUUAUCAAAACGUUACCUGCGUGAAUCAAUCGGAUUGAAUGGAUAAGGACUCAAAACCCUAGCACCCACCCCUGUUUUCCCCAAUUUCUUUCUCACGCUGCCGCCUGUUGUUGCUAUUGUGUUUCAUUUUAUAAAAAAAUACUUCAUCCAUUUCAAAAUACAUUUUUACUUUAGGAAAAAAAAAUUGUUUCAAAAUACUUGUCUAAUCCAACUUUAUGUAAAGUUAUACAAUUUAUAUUUCCAAAACCAACCAUAUACCACACAUUAGAUUCAAUUAAUGAUUUAUUACACUUUAUUUUUCAAAAUCUAUUUUUCUUAAACGAUUUUUUAAAAAUGCGCAUGUAAUUUGAAACGGAGGGAGUAAAAUCUAAUUUGAAACGGAGGGAGUAAAAUCUAAGUAUAUAUCUGAUUUAAGGCGACCAGUUGUACACACCAAUCUUACGCAACUGCUUAUAUUAUUCUAAAUAAAAUCCACCCCAAUAAUUUGAAAGAAGAUAAUUUUAGCUUAUAUUAUUCUAGAUAAAAUCCACCCCAAUAAUUUGAAAGAAGAUAAUUUUAACAUUAAUAUAAAUAUGGGGCUCAAAAAUGUUUUCGAAACAUCUAACUAAAAUAUCCGAAACUCCCAAAUUUUCUAAGUGCAAUAAAUCCGUGAAAUGUUUUAUUUUUAAAAGUUAUUAAAUAUUUAAUUUAAAUUGUCC